This 57-nucleotide ribosomal RNA is filed under the name Trichoderma harzianum. RNAcentral describes it as "partial 18S ribosomal RNA". Lineage: Eukaryota; Fungi; Ascomycota; Sordariomycetes; Hypocreales; Hypocreaceae. The record is from RNAcentral.
CCACCGAGGCGGCAUUCGUAACAAGGUUUCCGUAGGUGAACCAGCGGAGGGGACAUU